Non-coding RNA from Podarcis lilfordi (Lilford's wall lizard), 207 nucleotides. NCBI's taxonomy places the organism in Eukaryota, Metazoa, Chordata, Lepidosauria, Squamata, Lacertidae. The record is from the annotation of a GenBank genome assembly.
AUGCAGUUCAUCUGGCCCUGGAGACUUGAAUACAUCCAAACUAGCCAAGUAUUCUUGUACUAUCUCCUUAGUUAUUCUGGGCUGUGUUUCCUCUGCUGAAUCAUUUGCUCCAAAUUCUUCAGGUCGGGCAGUGUUUUCUUUAUCGGAGAAGACUGAGGCAAAGAAGGCAUUGAGGAGUUCAGCCCUUUCUGUGUCCCCUGUUUGCAA